CUUUUUCUUUGUUAUUUUCUCCAAAUACAAAGAUUAAACACAGAGAAAUAUCACAACCCAACGAAAGAGAGAGAGAAACUUCUCUACCUCUCUCAUUAUGGAUUGUGAUUUAUAGCCUUAUUGUCUUUCUCCAAUUCUCGGUUCCUCUUCUCGGACUUGUUCCCUCAUGUUCCGGCAGAUGGGAUCAUCUUUCCGGCAAUUUCUUCAGAUUCCUGCUCUCUGAUUUUUAUCUGUUUUUCUUUUGCCUCAAGGUCUUUUAUCCUUCUUCACUUGUUUUCAUUUUAGUUAUGGAUUAAUGUCUGUUUAGUUUUCUGACAGAAUGAAGAAAAAAAAAUAGAGAUUUUUUUUAAGAAAAAAAAAAUUCAUUUCUUUAGUUUGUGAAAGGCUGAAAGAUAAGCAGCUUAAAAGUUGUGUUUCUUUUGUUUUUUUCCCCCCUAAAUUUUGGUCAAGAUUUCAUCUGGGUUUGUUUGGUUUCUGGGAAAAUAUUGGAAAGAAAGAAUUUUGAGUAAUAAGCUUCAAUCAUGUCGAAUUAUGUUUGCCUUCUGUGUUGAGCAUAUGCCAUUUUUUAGCUAUGAUCUUCAAACAAUAUAUUAAGAGAAUUAUAGAAGUCAUACCUUUUAAUUAUACUGUUUCAGUAAUACAUUUCUCAGCUGAAAGGACAGAGGCCAGAGAAUAGGAGUUUGGUUUCCUUCCUGAGAAAAUGUGUGGAUGAAUUUCAAGUGAAAAUAUAGCAGGAUAAUGACUUUCUCUUUUUUGAAUAAUUAAGCUAGAUAUACUCAUUUAUUACUCAGCUGAAUUCUGGUUUAUUAUUUAUUUUAAAGAUUUACCGGAAAAAUACAUGAUUGAAGAUGAUUCUCUUACCCUCUCUUUUCUUUUUUCCUAAUCUUGAUUUUCUUGGCAAAAGAACAAAAGGGUCAACCUCUGUUUGGUUGAUACAUAUUGUUGGGGAGAAAAAAAAGCUGAAUACCUUUCCCUUUUAGCUUUUGCUUGCUGUAGAUUGACAAUCUCAAACACAACCCAGGCAUUUAGUUGUAUUAGGUAUGUUUCAGUCGGUACUUUUUUAAAUCUUUCCUAUGGCUUGGCUGGCAAUGGUUUAUAGAUGCAAUUCAAAUUUUACCCUUCCGGCGAAACCAAAACAAUAACAGUAACGGAGCUGCCUGCCAGAAAAGUCUAAAACCUAUAGCCAUAGGGAGGGGGUUCUUUAUAUUUGGUUUACUGUUCUUUUGCUCUUGGCUUUCCUGCAAUAUUCUGGAGACAAUAUUGGAAUUCCAUGUCAGAUUGAAUAUUCUCUGUGAUGUCUUCCAGUUUUACAGUUUUUGGUUUUCACUGUUAUUAAAUUGUAAGAUUCUUGGCUUUCUGAGUCAGAUCACAUCUUUUAUUUCCCUCCACUGUAUAUAUUCAAUGUACUUUAACCACCGUUCUGGUUCUUAGCAAAAUAUUUUUGAGUAAAAAAACUGCAACUUGGCUACUUCUAUUGAGAAUAUUUUAGCAUUUUUUUUUCCUUUUCUAGUCAUUCUUGUACCAUGCUUAUGUGCUUAUUAUUUUUUCUUUAAAUUUUUAGGUUUUUGAAUCUGCAAAAAGGUAGGACACUACGUCAUUCUGGUGUCCAUUGGACAUUGAACUUUAAGCGUAGCAAUGGGGCAUCUAUCCUCCAUGUUCAAUGGGUUAGCAAGGUCAUUUUCAAUAAGAAAAGGGAAGAGUAUUGGGAAUGGUGAUGGAAGGGAAGCUGCAGAAGCAAUGGCAAAAGAAGCAAAGAAGAACGACUUGAUAUUGCGAUCUUCUGGCUUUGUAAGUGUUGAUGGUUCAAAGAAUUUUGCAUCAGUUUUCUCGAAGAGAGGUGAGAAAGGAGUGAACCAGGAUAGCUUCAUUGUGUGGGAGGAAUUUGGAUGCCAAGAGGACAUGAUAUUUUGUGGUAUAUUUGAUGGGCAUGGUCCAUGGGGACAUGUUGUUGCCAAAAGAGUUAAAGAAUCUGUUCCUUCUUCUUUGCUAUGCAAUUGGCAAGAAACUCUUGCAUUGACAUCACCUGACAUUGAUUUCGAAAUGGAAUUGAAUAGAGAUCUCCAUCAUUUUGAUAUUUGGAAGCAGUCCUACUUGAAAACUUAUGCUGCAAUUGAUCAGGACCUUAAGCAGCACCCUGACAUCGAUGCCUUCUGCAGUGGUACUACAGCUUUAACAAUCGUUAAACAGGGUGACCAACUUGUUAUAGCAAAUGUUGGGGAUUCUCGAGCUGUGUUGGCAACAACUUCUGAUGAUGGCAGUUUGGUGCCAGUUCAGCUUACCAUCGAUUUCAAACCCAACUUACCCCAGGAGGCUGAACGAAUAAUACAGUCCAACGGUCGAGUAUUCUGCUUACAUGACGAGCCAGGGGUGUAUAGGGUAUGGAUGCCAAAUGGGAAGAGGCCAGGACUAGCAUUAUCAAGAGCCUUUGGUGACUACUGUGUAAAAGAUUUUGGGCUCAUUUCCAUACCUGAUGUGACCCAAAGAAUCAUAACAAGCAGAGAUCAUUUUGUCAUUUUGGCAACGGAUGGGCUAUGGGAUGUUGUUUCCAAUCAAGAAGCAGUGCAGAUUGUUUCUUCAACAACAGAUAGGGAAAAAUCGGCUAAAACGUUGGCGCAAUAUGCUGUUCGUGCAUGGAAAUGUAAGAAAAGGGGCAUUGCAAUCGAUGAUAUCUCAGCCAUAUGCCUCUUCUUUCAGGAUUCACCAUCUCAAAAGGUUGACCCUUUGAUGGUCUGGAAACAAGCACAGGUGACCAAAACGGCGUAGUGGCUGGUUGAAAAAAAAAAAAAAAAAAAAA
This 2794-nucleotide unclassified non-coding RNA is filed under the name Hevea brasiliensis (rubber tree). The record is from RNAcentral. Lineage: Eukaryota; Viridiplantae; Streptophyta; Magnoliopsida; Malpighiales; Euphorbiaceae.